ACUUAAAUUGAAGAGUUUGAUCAUGGCUCAGAUUGAACGCUGGCGGCAGGCCUAACACAUGCAAGUCGAGCGGUAGCACAGAGAGCUUGCUCUCGGGUGACGAGCGGCGGACGGGUGAGUAAUGUCUGGGAAACUGCCUGAUGGAGGGGGAUAACUACUGGAAACGGUAGCUAAUACCGCAUAAUGUCGCAAGACCAAAGUGGGGGACCUUCGGGCCUCAUGCCAUCAGAUGUGCCCAGAUGGGAUUAGCUAGUAGGUGGGGUAACGGCUCACCUAGGCGACGAUCCCUAGCUGGUCUGAGAGGAUGACCAGCCACACUGGAACUGAGACACGGUCCAGACUCCUACGGGAGGCAGCAGUGGGGAAUAUUGCACAAUGGGCGCAAGCCUGAUGCAGCCAUGCCGCGUGUGUGAAGAAGGCCUUCGGGUUGUAAAGCACUUUCAGCGGGGAGGAAGGCGAUAAGGUUAAUAACCUUGUCGAUUGACGUUACCCGCAGAAGAAGCACCGGCUAACUCCGUGCCAGCAGCCGCGGUAAUACGGAGGGUGCAAGCGUUAAUCGGAAUUACUGGGCGUAAAGCGCACGCAGGCGGUCUGUCAAGUCGGAUGUGAAAUCCCCGGGCUCAACCUGGGAACUGCAUUCGAAACUGGCAGGCUAGAGUCUUGUAGAGGGGGGUAGAAUUCCAGGUGUAGCGGUGAAAUGCGUAGAGAUCUGGAGGAAUACCGGUGGCGAAGGCGGCCCCCUGGACAAAGACUGACGCUCAGGUGCGAAAGCGUGGGGAGCAAACAGGAUUAGAUACCCUGGUAGUCCACGCUGUAAACGAUGUCGAUUUGGAGGUUGUGCCCUUGAGGCGUGGCUUCCGGAGCUAACGCGUUAAAUCGACCGCCUGGGGAGUACGGCCGCAAGGUUAAAACUCAAAUGAAUUGACGGGGGCCCGCACAAGCGGUGGAGCAUGUGGUUUAAUUCGAUGCAACGCGAAGAACCUUACCUGGUCUUGACAUCCACAGAACUUUCCAGAGAUGGAUUGGUGCCUUCGGGAACUGUGAGACAGGUGCUGCAUGGCUGUCGUCAGCUCGUGUUGUGAAAUGUUGGGUUAAGUCCCGCAACGAGCGCAACCCUUAUCCUUUGUUGCCAGCGGUCCGGCCGGGAACUCAAAGGAGACUGCCAGUGAUAAACUGGAGGAAGGUGGGGAUGACGUCAAGUCAUCAUGGCCCUUACGACCAGGGCUACACACGUGCUACAAUGGCAUAUACAAAGAGAAGCGACCUCGCGAGAGCAAGCGGACCUCAUAAAGUAUGUCGUAGUCCGGAUUGGAGUCUGCAACUCGACUCCAUGAAGUCGGAAUCGCUAGUAAUCGUAGAUCAGAAUGCUACGGUGAAUACGUUCCCGGGCCUUGUACACACCGCCCGUCACACCAUGGGAGUGGGUUGCAAAAGAAGUAGGUAGCUUAACCUUCGGGAGGGCGCUUACCACUUUGUGAUUCAUGACUGGGGUGAAGUCGUAACAAGGUAACCGUAGGGGAACCUGCGGUUGGAUCACCUCCUUACCUUAAAGAA
This 1554-nucleotide ribosomal RNA is filed under the name Klebsiella variicola. RNAcentral describes it as "bacterial SSU rRNA". It matches the Rfam family "Bacterial small subunit ribosomal RNA". Lineage: Bacteria; Pseudomonadati; Pseudomonadota; Gammaproteobacteria; Enterobacterales; Enterobacteriaceae. The record is from RNAcentral.